RNAcentral lists this unclassified non-coding RNA (228 nucleotides) under Borreliella valaisiana. RNAcentral describes it as "partial 5S-23S rRNA intergenic spacer". Lineage: Bacteria; Pseudomonadati; Spirochaetota; Spirochaetia; Spirochaetales; Borreliaceae. The record is from RNAcentral.
CCAUAGACUCUUAUUACUUUGACCAUAUUUUUAUCUUCCAUCUCUAUUUUGCCAAUUCGUUUAUGCAACAUAAAAUAAUAUAUAUCUUUUGUUCAAUCCAUGUCAAUAUCUAUUUUAUUUUUUACAUUAUUUGAAUAAAACAUUCAAAAACAUGAACAUUAAAAAAAUAUAAAAAAUAAAUUUAAGGUUUAAAGUACAAAAUAAAAACCCUGGCAAUAACCUACUCUC